Molecule: ribosomal RNA, 609 nt
Filed under: uncultured bacterium
Lineage: Bacteria
Description: bacterial SSU rRNA
Rfam family: Bacterial small subunit ribosomal RNA
Source: RNAcentral
CCUACGGGAGGCAGCAGUAAGGAAUAUUGGUCAAUGGACGCAAGUCUGAACCAGCCAUGCCGCGUGAAGGAUUAAGGCCCUCUGGGUUGUAAACUUCUUUUAUAGGGGACGAAAAAAGGGCAUUCUUGCUCACUUGACGGUACCCUAGGAAUAAGCACCGGCUAACUCCGUGCCAGCAGCCGCGGUAAUACGGAGGGUGCAAGCGUUAUCCGGAUUUACUGGGUUUAAAGGGUGCGUAGGUGGGUUGGUAAGUCAGUGGUGAAAUCUUCGAGCUUAACUCGGAAACUGCCAUUGAUACUAUCAAUCUUGAAUCAUCUAGAGGUAAGCGGAAUAUGUCAUGUAGCGGUGAAAUGCUUAGAUAUGACAUAGAACACCAAUUGCGAAGGCAGCUUACUAUGGAUGUAUUGACACUGAGGCACGAAAGCGUGGGGAUCAAACAGGAUUAGAUACCCUGGUAGUCCACGCCCUAAACGAUGGAUACUCGACAUUUGUGAUAUACUAUAAGUGUCUGAGCGAAAGCAUUAAGUAUCCCACCUGGAAGUACGACCGCAAGGUUGAAACUCAAAGGAAUUGACGGCUGAGAGAGCGAGACGACGACGAGGGAGGAGG